GGAAAGGUUAAUCAGAGAAGGUAAUAAUCCUGUAGUCGAAAACGAAUUCUCUCUUGAGUGGAUCCUGAGUACGACGGAGCACGUGAAAUUCCGUCGGAAUCUGGGAGGACCAUCUCCUAAGGCUAAAUACUCUCUAGUGACCGAUAGUGAACCAGUACCGUGAGGGAAAGGUGAAAAGUACCCCGGAAGGGGAGUGAAAGAGAACUUGAAACCGUGUGCUUACAAGUAGUCAGAGCCCGUUAAUGGGUGAUGGCGUGCCUUUUGUAGAAUGAACCGGCGAGUUACGAUCUGAUGCAAGGUUAAGCAGAAAAUGUGGAGCCGUAGCGAAAGCGAGUCUGAAUAGGGCGAAUGAGUAUUUGGUCGUAGACCCGAAACCAGGUGAUCUACCCUUGGUCAGGUUGAAGUUCAGGUAACACUGAAUGGAGGACCGAACCGACUUACGUUGAAAAGUGAGCGGAUGAACUGAGGGUAGCGGAGAAAUUCCAAUCGAACUUGGAGAUAGCUGGUUCUCUCCGAAAUAGCUUUAGGGCUAGCCUCAAGUGAUGAUUAUUGGAGGUAGAGCACUGUUUGGACGAGGGGCCCCUCUCGGGUUACCGAAUUCAGACAAACUCCGAAUGCCAAAUAAUUUAACUUGGGAGUCAGAAUGUGGGUGAUAAGGUCCAUAUUCGAAAGGGAAACAGCCCAGACCACCAGCUAAGGUCCCAAAAUAUAUGUUAAGUGGAAAAGGAUGUGGCGUUGCCCAGACAACUAGGAUGUUGGCUUAGAAGCAGCCAUCAUUUAAAGAGUGCGUAAUAGCUCACUAGUCGAGUGACACUGCGCCGAAAAUGUACCGGGGCUAAACAUAU
RNAcentral lists this ribosomal RNA (845 nucleotides) under Staphylococcus pseudintermedius. RNAcentral describes it as "partial 23S ribosomal RNA". It matches the Rfam family "Bacterial large subunit ribosomal RNA", at positions 344 to 1191 of the family's 2925-position model. Lineage: Bacteria; Bacillati; Bacillota; Bacilli; Caryophanales; Staphylococcaceae. The record is from RNAcentral.